This 745-nucleotide long non-coding RNA is filed under the name Equus asinus (donkey). RNAcentral describes it as "lncRNA (ENSEASG00005025016.1)". Lineage: Eukaryota; Metazoa; Chordata; Mammalia; Perissodactyla; Equidae. The record is from RNAcentral.
CAGGAGCAAACAUGUACUGAGUGCGACGGAAGCCCUUGACAAAGAAAUGACAUAUGUGAUUUAUGUUUUUAAAAGCUCUACGUGCUGGGUGAAGAACGGCUUAAAGGGGGACAAGAAUGGAGCAGGGAGAGUAGUCAGGAGACCGUGACAGACAGGAGAUGGAAAUGACUUGGAAGGAGGAGGUGGCGAUAGAGACGACCCCCCAGCUAAAGAAGCCUUGAGGAUGAGAGACUGCAGACAGAGGCCCAGCAGCCAGCCAGCCUGAACAGCUACACGUGUGAGUGAGGCCAUCUGAUACUCUGUAGCCACAGUCCAUCUGCCAAAGGAUUGAAACAGCAUGAUUCACCCCAGGAAGAUUAGGCCUGAGCUAAGUACUGCCAAUCCUCCUCUUUUUGCUGAGGAAGACUGGCCAUGAGCUACCAUCCAUGCCCAUCUUCCUCUACUUUAUACAUGCGAUGCCUGCCACAGCAUGGCUUUUGCCAAGCGGUGCCAUGUCCACACCUGGGAUCUGAACCGGCGAUCCCCGGGCCACCAAGAAGUGGAACGUGCAAACUUAACUGCUGUGCCACCGGGCUGGCCCCAACACAUCUUUUUAGGGGGACACAAUUCAACUCACAACACCCUCUCAUCCCCAGGCAACCACUAAUCUACUGUCUGUAUUUAUGGAUUUACCUACUCCGGACAUUUCAUGUAAGUGUAAUUAUAUAAUAUGUAGUCUUUGGGACUAGUUUGUCUCAGCAUAAUG